GGAGAGAUGUCCGAGCGGUUGAAGGAGCACGCCUGGAAAGCGUGUGUACGUUAAUAGCGUACCCAGGGUUCGAAUCCCUGUCUCUCCGCCA
This 91-nucleotide transfer RNA is filed under the name Deltaproteobacteria bacterium. Its description in RNAcentral is "tRNA-Ser". It matches the Rfam family "tRNA". Rfam says of the family: Transfer RNA (tRNA) molecules are approximately 80 nucleotides in length. Their secondary structure includes four short double-helical elements and three loops (D, anti-codon, and T loops). Further hydrogen bonds mediate the characteristic L-shaped molecular structure. tRNAs have two regions of fundamental functional importance: the anti-codon, which is responsible for specific mRNA codon recognition, and the 3' end, to which the tRNAs corresponding amino acid is attached (by aminoacyl-tRNA synthetases). tRNAs cope with the degeneracy of the genetic code in two manners: having more than one tRNA (with a specific anti-codon) for a particular amino acid; and 'wobble' base-pairing, i.e. permitting non-standard base-pairing at the 3rd anti-codon position. Lineage: Bacteria; Pseudomonadati; Myxococcota; Myxococcia. RNAcentral also lists the same sequence under 2 other names. The record is from RNAcentral.